Molecule: ribosomal RNA, 484 nt
Filed under: uncultured bacterium
Lineage: Bacteria
Description: partial 16S ribosomal RNA
Rfam family: Bacterial small subunit ribosomal RNA
Source: RNAcentral
AUUGAACGCUGGCGGCAGGCCUAACACAUGCAAGUCGAGCGGAUGAAGGGAGCUUGCUCCUGGAUUCAGCGGCGGACGGGUGAGUAAUGCCUAGGAAUCUGCCUGGUAGUGGGGGAUAACGUCCGGAAACGGGCGCUAAUACCGCAUACGUCCUGAGGGAGAAAGUGGGGGAUCUUCGGACCUCACGCUAUCAGAUGAGCCUAGGUCGGAUUAGCUAGUUGGUGGGGUAAAGGCCUACCAAGGCGACGAUCCGUAACUGGUCUGAGAGGAUGAUCAGUCACACUGGAACUGAGACACGGUCCAGACUCCUACGGGAGGCAGCAGUGGGGAAUAUUGGACAAUGGGCGAAAGCCUGAUCCAGCCAUGCCGCGUGUGUGAAGAAGGUCUUCGGAUUGUAAAGUACUUUAAGUUGGGAGGAAGGGCAGUAAGUUAAUACCUUGCUGUUUUGACGUUACCAACAGAAUAAGCGCCGGCUAACUUCGUG